Molecule: long non-coding RNA, 2247 nt
Filed under: Nicotiana benthamiana
Lineage: Eukaryota; Viridiplantae; Streptophyta; Magnoliopsida; Solanales; Solanaceae
Description: long non-coding RNA (NBEN_LNC012448)
Source: RNAcentral
AUCUUUGGAGCUAACUACAAGCAAAAGAAGCAAAAACAAAAGUGCCAAAACUCGAAGCGAAAAAAUAAAAUUUGUAUACUACCAGCUUACUUCAACAUCUCAUUUUUUGAGGCACUUAAUCAAAUUUUCUACGGCACGAAUUCUACUAGCAUCUGUAUCGGUAACAACUGCAAAAGAAUAUGAAACAAAAUACUGUUAGUUACUUAAUGUAACCUAAAGGAAAGAAGUGAAAGGUUUGAAAAUGAAGGAGAUAACAUACGUGAUAUCUCAACAUUCGAAUUGUGGAAUUUUGUUUGAUUAGUUUCUUUUGAUUGUCUCUUCAUCAGUUAAGCAUCUCAGUAUCCUUCAAACCGUUAUUGCUAAGCGAAUUAAAUAAUUAGUACCUGCCUUUCAUAUGAUUGGAGUUGGAAAAAUAGGCAGCAGAUUGAACUAUCACCACAAGAGUGUCAGGGACCUUUGUAGUUUCUGGAUGCUGUUGUAUAUUGCAGUAAACAAUCCAUCGUAAGAAUAAGAAAUUUGAUAUGCAAUCAAUAAAUUAAAAAGACCACCAUAGAUUUAUGUAAGUUGUAAGUUUACACUUGUAUAUCAAGUUUCCGUCUACCUGAAGCCACAUAUGCAGGAAGAUGUCAUUGAGCUAACUAUGCUAAUUGAUCCCAAGGCUACCAUUUCAUUGUUUCACUUCAACUGGUGUUCAAUGCUACAAAUAUUCUAUCAAUUGUUGUAUCUUCCUAUAAUUCAAGAAGUUUGCAAUAUAUAAAAAGAAAAACUUUCUCUGAAAAGAAUAUUUGGCCACAAAAUGUAAGAAGCAUAACUAACCACUCAGUGCCAUCACACUAGCACAUCAAGCCUCAAUUUUUUUUGAGUUGAACAUCAAUCCUGAAAUUCUUGCACACAUAUUCACUAGUGAAAUAAUUCUCUUCAUCAUGCUUAUUUGCACCCAAACAUAUCAUGCAUUUUGAAAAGUGAAAUGAGGAUAUGACAAAGAUAUUGAUAAUAUGAUCUAUAACACUUGCUCUGGCUAGUCACUGAAAAAGCUUUUACAUUGAUAAGGCAUGUUUAUGCCAUAAAUAAGUCUCUAAAAGUAAAAACCAGAAUUGCUAGCUAAAGUUUAAUCUCUAGGAGUGCUUUACCAUGGCAAAUUAGCUCAAAUCUAUAGGAGUGCUUUACCAUGGGAAAUCAUCUCAAAUCUUUGGUUGAAUAGAGUAAUUAUCUACAACAAUCACCUGAGCAUAGUGCAAAACUUCACGUAAUUUUACUCAUGUUUCUAACCACCUCUGGUACAUAAGGAUGCUAUAGUUUCAAAUAUACAAUAAAAAUGAAGCUUAGAAGUAUGUACCUCAUUCUUCUCAUUUUUUUCUCAUUAGUUUGUCAACUAAUGUGAGAACCAAUAAUUCAGAACCAGCAGUUACCAAACAUCACACAUUGGACUGUGAAUUGUGAUUAUAGCAGUUUAUGAAUAUAAAAAAACUGCUAACUAAUAUCAGGAGCUCAUAUUAAUCUCCUGUAAAAAGAAGGUGUAAAAUCUAAUUCAGAUUUACUUGAUUAAAUAUUAACUAGAGUAUUACAUUAUGAGGAGGCUUCUUUAUAGUACUUGAAAACAAAAGACCCCUCAAUCAUCACAAGAAGGAAAAUAAAAAUUCAAUUCUUAGAUGCCAGACCAUCACUCCCCAAAAUGGACCAAGACCAACUUCCAAAUAAUUCAAAAAAUAAGAACAUAAAUUCAUUGGUUAUUAAACUAGUUGGACAAAGAAAAAGUCCAUUGCAUUGUUUGUCGUACUUCACGAUCUUAAGCACAUAAUCCAUUCAUAGCCAAAAUACAGAAAACCUUAAUCAACUGCAAAUGAUGAAAGAUACCCCAAAUACCACCUAAUACAAAUAUACGAUUUCAUACCAGAGACCUUCCUUUUAAAAAUUACACAUUCAUUUCCCCAAUAAAAUUACUCUUAGAAGGACAAAUUUACGCUUGGACCUUAAAAACAAAGGAAGCCACACAAUAAUUGAACAAAAUAUAACCCUAUAACUGUACUAAUACAUAGAUCCCACAGCAUAUCAAAAACAAUUUCAGGUACGGACUUCUACAUCAGAAAGUAAACAAAGACGAUAUAGAGCAAAAGAAAACAAGAAAGAUCUUAAUAAAGUACGAACCUUUGUUGCCGGGGGAAGAGAGGGAAUUGAGCCCUGCUAAUUUUUGAGUUGAAGAGAGGGAAUUAACUAUACUCUUAGAAAAAGGAGGAAUUUUGCCCGGUU